UCCCACAUCGCUUAGGAUCAACAUUAAGGCAUUCUAUAUUUAGAGCACGGCGGAAGCAGGAGUUCGUCCCUUCGGGGACAUCCGAUAAAAUUGGAACGAUACAGAGAAGAUUAGCAUGGCCCCUGCGCAAGGAUGACACGCACAAAUCGAGAAAUGGUCCAAAUUUUUUUUUUCCCUGCCCCUCCUACGAUGGAUCUGUACUCGGAGGAUUUCUAUUUCAUCUUCCCUAUUCGAAUCCCUGUUUUUCGCUUUCCUUCGAUUUGGCAUCUGAAUUGAGCUGCAAAUGGAUCCAGCAGACAGUUUCUUGAAUUUAUUAGUUGCCAGUUCAAUCACAAAACCCUAAUUUGUGCGAAAAUCGUGAGGUUUGUGCUAUUUUUUAGAUUUUCCUGUUUGCUGAGCUCUGUAACUAGAAAUUCUGCAUCUGUAAACCCUAAUUUGGAUGUUUCCUUAGGGAAAAGAAACUGGAAUCGAAUUCCAAUACCUCACCGAUCAAUCCCGAUGCCUAAAGGCCAAGACCUUGAUACAUAGCCACCUGAUUCAUUCAAAGGGCUAUGUAGUUUCGCUCGAGUUCUUGAUCUUCUCUUAGAACUGCAGAAUUAAUUCUGAGGAGUAUGUUAGAUUCGUGCUCUAUUGAGUUUCCUUCGAAGUUCUUUGAAUCCUUACUGUACUCCUAGACUUUGGUUCUUCCCCAAAUGUUUUUGAUCUGUUUUUUGAGACUUCUGCUCAUUUGGAGAAGUUUAGAAAUGGCUCUGAUACAUUUUUGAAGAUGAAGGAUUAUGGAUUUUGGGAUUCCUUGCUUAAUUUCCUUUCUGAGCUCCUUGCUUAGAAUUUCAAUGGCGAAAAAUGUGUUUCCCCCUGAUCUUGGGAUUAUUCAAAAGAGGAAGACAAAGAAACCAGCAUUUCUGGUUACAGAGCUUGAGACAACGAUGAACUAAUACCAACUCAAAAAUCUCCCGUACCUUUGAUCCAUCGAGCGAGAGCCCUUCCACACGGAACUCUCGAAUCACUAUGGGCAACGGAGAGCCCUUCCACACAGAACUCCUGGAUCACUCUGAGUGACUAGAGUUUUCAGUUAAGGAUUAUACAUCUUAUGUUAGCUCUAAAGGAUUAUUGGCUUGAUUACUUGCAACCCUUCAUCACCUCCUUCGAACGGUCGUGGGCUCGCUUUCGCUGUAUGAGACUGGAUGACUUCUGGGUUGGUAAUGCUCUUUCUUCUUCUUCUUCUUCAGAAACUAUUUCUUUACAUUGGAUAGAUCAAUGGCUACUGAACAUCUCGAAACGAAACCAAUCGGUUCGGUUGAACAUCGAUUUUCAAGUCGAUUGGUUCAGUUGGUCGUCCAUCUUUAGAAAAACCAUUGCUGUUGUUGUUCUGUUAUCAGUUUAAAUCAAAAAUCUUGUUGUCUUGGUAGAUUCCUAUUGAUUGAUUACUGUUUUGGCUGUAUUACAUAUCUAAGCUGAAGAAUUAAAGAGUUCUUCAAAUGAUGUGAAAAGUUAAAGAUUUCUUGUCCUCGUACCAUAUCUAAGCUGAAGAACUAGAACCCAUUUUUUGUAGAAGAGAGAAAAGAGUUGGGGGAAGUUCAUUCGUUAUGCUCAUCUGUUAUAAUGGCUGCUAGCUCCCAUAUUCUAAGCAUUAGAACUAUAAAUCUCCUCUGUAACAAUGGAAUCAUUGUCUGAUAGAAAUAUUGCCAAAUAAUACCUGCAGAGAAAACAGUGAAAUCAAAACAUAAAUUUGGAAGAAGCUUUGCACGAAGAUAUGUCUAUUUUAUCGGCGGGACCUCUCUCGAACGCAGAGAAGAUUCCCUAUUUAGACAGAGAAUGUGAGAUGGAGUGUAGAACAAUUUUUCUCCGCUAGAUACCUACCUAUUUAGAC
Cucurbita moschata (crookneck pumpkin) is the source of this 1870-nucleotide long non-coding RNA. RefSeq lists it as uncharacterized. The transcript has 2 exons. NCBI's taxonomy places the organism in Eukaryota, Viridiplantae, Streptophyta, Magnoliopsida, Cucurbitales, Cucurbitaceae. The record is from RefSeq and is a predicted model, not a curated record.